CUAAUCUAUAUUCUGUGUUAUGAUUUUUCAAGGACUAUCUAAAAUUUGGAAUACAAAGAAUCUUCAAUCGGAUAGACAGAGCCAAUCCCCAGUUUCAUGUUCAGGAAAAAACCUCUUGCACGUCUUUGAUUGGUAAAGAAUCAGUAAAAACACUCUCGGUUAUGCGGGAAUGAACUUAACUCACCUUCCUUUGAAGCUUUUCAUCGUCUAUAUAAGAUCAAACCGAGAUCAAAAUCUUUAGCUCAGGAGUGGGAUGGAAUGAGUUAAGAAAUUGGAUUGAUUGUAGAAGGCAUGAAGUAUUAGUAUGGAGAAACAGAGGGACAUGAGACAAAAGUGAUUUAUAGAAAAGCUCAGACAGAGACAUGGGGAAGGAGAUAGAGAUAAGAAUCAGUUGUAACAUCACAAA
Brassica oleracea var. oleracea is the source of this 406-nucleotide long non-coding RNA. RefSeq lists it as uncharacterized. The record is from RefSeq and is a predicted model, not a curated record. The transcript is spliced from 3 exons. NCBI's taxonomy places the organism in Eukaryota, Viridiplantae, Streptophyta, Magnoliopsida, Brassicales, Brassicaceae.